GGCUCAGUGGUCUAGUGGUAUGAUUCUCGCUUUGGGUGCGAGAGGCCACGAGUUCGAUUCCCGUCUGAACCC
This is a non-coding RNA of Nematostella vectensis (starlet sea anemone), 72 nucleotides long. The record is from Rfam. NCBI's taxonomy places the organism in Eukaryota, Metazoa, Cnidaria, Anthozoa, Actiniaria, Edwardsiidae.